GGGCUUGUGGUUUAGUGGUAUAAUACUCCCUUAGCAUGGGAGUGGUCCAGGGUUCGAUUCCCUGCAAGUCCA
Alternaria alternata is the source of this 72-nucleotide transfer RNA. It matches the Rfam family "tRNA". Rfam says of the family: Transfer RNA (tRNA) molecules are approximately 80 nucleotides in length. Their secondary structure includes four short double-helical elements and three loops (D, anti-codon, and T loops). The record is from Rfam. NCBI's taxonomy places the organism in Eukaryota, Fungi, Ascomycota, Dothideomycetes, Pleosporales, Pleosporaceae.